CAGUAGCCGCGGGAAUACGAAGGGGGCUAGCGUUGCUCGGAAUGACUGGGCGUAAAGGGCGCGUAGGCGGAUCACGCAGUCAGAUGUGAAAUUCCUGGGCUUAACCUGGGGGCUGCAUUUGAGACGCGUGGUCUAGAGUGUGGAAGAGGGUCGUGGAAUUCCCAGUGUAGAGGUGAAAUUCGUAGAUAUUGGGAAGAACACCGGUGGCGAAGGCGGCGACCUGGUUCAUAACUGACGCUGAGGCGCGAAAGCGUGGGGAGCAAACAGGAUUAGAUACCCCGGUAGUCCCUGUCUCUUAUAC
RNAcentral lists this ribosomal RNA (301 nucleotides) under uncultured bacterium. Its description in RNAcentral is "partial 16S ribosomal RNA". It matches the Rfam family "Bacterial small subunit ribosomal RNA", at positions 509 to 807 of the family's 1533-position model. The record is from RNAcentral.